CCUACGGGGGACAGCAGUAGGGAAUUUUCGUCAAUGGGCGCAAGCCUGAACGAGCAAUGCCGCGUGAACGAGGAAGGUCUUCGGAUCGUAAAGUUCUGUUGAAGGGGAAAAAGAGCGGAGAGAGGAAAUGGUCUCCGAUUGAUAUUACCCUUCGAGGAAGUCACGGCUAACUACGUGCCAGCAGCCGCGGUAAUACGUAGGUGGCGAGCGUUAUCCGGAAUGAUUGGGCGUAAGGGGUGCGUAGGCGGCCUGCUAAGUCUGGGGUGAAAGGUACCGGCUCAACCGGUAGAGGCUCUGGAAACUGGCGGGCUAGAGAGCAGGAGAGGGCGGUGGAACUCCAUGUGUAGCGGUAAAAUGCGUAGAUAUAUGGAAGAACACCAGUGGCGAAGGCGGCCGCCUGGCCUGUUACUGACGCUGAGGCACGAAAGCGUGGGGAGCAAAUAGGAUUAGAUACCCCAGUAGUC
RNAcentral lists this ribosomal RNA (464 nucleotides) under uncultured bacterium. RNAcentral's name for it is "partial 16S ribosomal RNA". It matches the Rfam family "Bacterial small subunit ribosomal RNA", at positions 338 to 795 of the family's 1533-position model. The record is from RNAcentral.